This 66-nucleotide transfer RNA is filed under the name Arctopsyche sp. XG-2022. Its description in RNAcentral is "tRNA-Phe". Lineage: Eukaryota; Metazoa; Arthropoda; Insecta; Trichoptera; Hydropsychidae. The record is from RNAcentral.
ACUUAAAUAACUUAUUUAGAGUGUUAUAUUGAAGAUAUAAAAGAAUUAAUUAUUUAAUUUUAAGUA